Molecule: RNA transcript, 1413 nt
Organism: Carlito syrichta (Philippine tarsier)
Lineage: Eukaryota; Metazoa; Chordata; Mammalia; Primates; Tarsiidae
Gene: LAPTM4A
Gene name: lysosomal protein transmembrane 4 alpha
Exons: 7
Source: RefSeq, a predicted model, not a curated record
UCGCGCGAGAGCGAAGGAACUAGGAGGGUCCCGGGCAGGGGGCGGGCUGGAAGACGCGUCAUUUGCUUUUGGAUACGGUGAUAGAGCUGUUUGAGUGUGCUGCGCGGAAGGCGUUUGUCAGGGGCCUGUCCAACAACGAGGCUCGCGACAUUCCCGAUGGUGUCCAUGACUUUCAAGCGGAGCCGCAGCGACCGGUUCUACAGCACUCGGUGCUGUGGCUGUUGCCAUGUCCGCACCGGGACAAUCAUCCUGGGGACCUGGUACAUGGUGGUAAACCUAUUGAUGGCAAUUUUGCUAACUGUGGAGGUGACUCAUCCAAACUCAAUGCCAACUGUCAACAUUCAAUAUGAAGUCAUUGGUAAUUACUAUUCAUCUGAGAGAAUGGCUGAUAAUGCCUGUGUUCUUUUUGCCGUCUCUGUCCUUAUGUUUAUAAUCAGUUCAAUGCUGGUAUAUGGAGCAAUUUCUUAUCAAGUGGGUUGGCUGAUUCCAUUCUUCUGUUAUCGGCUUUUUGACUUCGUUCUCAGUUGUCUGGUUGCUAUCAGUUCUCUCACUUACUUGCCAAGAAUCAAAGAAUAUCUGGAUCAAUUACCUGAUUUUCCCUACAAAGAUGACCUCCUAGCUUUGGACUCCAGCUGCCUCCUGUUCAUUGUUCUCGUGUUCUUUGUCUUAUUCAUCAUUUUUAAGGUACGCUUAUCUAAUCAACUGUGUUUGGAACUGCUAUAAAUACAUCAACAACAGAAACGUUCCAGAGAUUGCUGUGUACCCUGCCUUUGAAGCACCUCCUCAGUAUGUUUUGCCAACCUAUGAAAUGGCCGUGAAGAUGCCUGAAAAAGAACCACCUCCUCCUUACUUACCUGCCUGAAGAAAUUCUGCCUUUGACAAUAAAGCCUAUACCAGCUUUUGGUCUUGUUUAUUUUACAGAAUGCUGCAAUACAGGGCUCUUCAAACUUGUUUGAUAUAAAAUACAUUGUCUUUUGUUUAAGCGUUCAUUUUCAAACACUAACGAGCUUUUUGACUUAUUAAAAGUCUUCUUGUUUUUUUGUUAAGUCUAUUACAUUUUAAUAGUUUUUGAGGACAAUCUAGGUUAAGCAAGAGCAAAGUGCCAUUGUUUGCCUUUAAAUCGGGGGGUGGGAUGGGGAACGGGGUAUUCUUCACAUAUUUUUCUUUUUUAACUUUGCACUUUCUUUAUAUAAUAGUUUGCAUUUUUUUAUUUGUUGCCCUGGAUAUUUUCAGAAAGAAUGAGUUAACUAUUCAGGGUGAAUGAGUUGGGUAUAAGACCUGAAGUUUUCAACUAUGGAAACAGAAAAACAUGACAUUCUGACUUGACUGUGGAGGAUGAUGGUUGUGUGUUUCUAAUUUGUAUAUGUUUCCAUCUUUGUGAUAAGAUGCUUUAAUAAAUCUCUUAAAUACUUA